This 2921-nucleotide ribosomal RNA is filed under the name Staphylococcus aureus M1015. Its description in RNAcentral is "bacterial LSU rRNA". It matches the Rfam family "Bacterial large subunit ribosomal RNA". Lineage: Bacteria; Bacillati; Bacillota; Bacilli; Caryophanales; Staphylococcaceae. The record is from RNAcentral.
UUAAGUUAUUAAGGGCGCACGGUGGAUGCCUUGGCACUAGAAGCCGAUGAAGGACGUUACUAACGACGAUAUGCUUUGGGGAGCUGUAAGUAAGCUUUGAUCCAGAGAUUUCCGAAUGGGGAAACCCAGCAUGAGUUAUGUCAUGUUAUCGAUAUGUGAAUACAUAGCAUAUCAGAAGGCACACCCGGAGAACUGAAACAUCUUAGUACCCGGAGGAAGAGAAAGAAAAUUCGAUUCCCUUAGUAGCGGCGAGCGAAACGGGAAGAGCCCAAACCAACAAGCUUGCUUGUUGGGGUUGUAGGACACUCUGUACGGAGUUACAAAGGACGACAUUAGACGAAUCAUCUGGAAAGAUGAAUCAAAGAAGGUAAUAAUCCUGUAGUCGAAAAUGUUGUCUCUCUUGAGUGGAUCCUGAGUACGACGGAGCACGUGAAAUUCCGUCGGAAUCUGGGAGGACCAUCUCCUAAGGCUAAAUACUCUCUAGUGACCGAUAGUGAACCAGUACCGUGAGGGAAAGGUGAAAAGCACCCCGGAAGGGGAGUGAAAUAGAACCUGAAACCGUGUGCUUACAAGUAGUCAGAGCCCGUUAAUGGGUGAUGGCGUGCCUUUUGUAGAAUGAACCGGCGAGUUACGAUUUGAUGCAAGGUUAAGCAGUAAAUGUGGAGCCGUAGCGAAAGCGAGUCUGAAUAGGGCGUUUAGUAUUUGGUCGUAGACCCGAAACCAGGUGAUCUACCCUUGGUCAGGUUGAAGUUCAGGUAACACUGAAUGGAGGACCGAACCGACUUACGUUGAAAAGUGAGCGGAUGAACUGAGGGUAGCGGAGAAAUUCCAAUCGAACCUGGAGAUAGCUGGUUCUCUCCGAAAUAGCUUUAGGGCUAGCCUCAAGUGAUGAUUAUUGGAGGUAGAGCACUGUUUGGACGAGGGGCCCCUCUCGGGUUACCGAAUUCAGACAAACUCCGAAUGCCAAUUAAUUUAACUUGGGAGUCAGAACAUGGGUGAUAAGGUCCGUGUUCGAAAGGGAAACAGCCCAGACCACCAGCUAAGGUCCCAAAAUAUAUGUUAAGUGGAAAAGGAUGUGGCGUUGCCCAGACAACUAGGAUGUUGGCUUAGAAGCAGCCAUCAUUUAAAGAGUGCGUAAUAGCUCACUAGUCGAGUGACACUGCGCCGAAAAUGUACCGGGGCUAAACAUAUUACCGAAGCUGUGGAUUGUCCUUUGGACAAUGGUAGGAGAGCGUUCUAAGGGCGUUGAAGCAUGAUCGUAAGGACAUGUGGAGCGCUUAGAAGUGAGAAUGCCGGUGUGAGUAGCGAAAGACGGGUGAGAAUCCCGUCCACCGAUUGACUAAGGUUUCCAGAGGAAGGCUCGUCCGCUCUGGGUUAGUCGGGUCCUAAGCUGAGGCCGACAGGCGUAGGCGAUGGAUAACAGGUUGAUAUUCCUGUACCACCUAUAAUCGUUUUAAUCGAUGGGGGGACGCAGUAGGAUAGGCGAAGCGUGCGAUUGGAUUGCACGUCUAAGCAGUAAGGCUGAGUAUUAGGCAAAUCCGGUACUCGUUAAGGCUGAGCUGUGAUGGGGAGAAGACAUUGUGUCUUCGAGUCGUUGAUUUCACACUGCCGAGAAAAGCCUCUAGAUAGAAAAUAGGUGCCCGUACCGCAAACCGACACAGGUAGUCAAGAUGAGAAUUCUAAGGUGAGCGAGCGAACUCUCGUUAAGGAACUCGGCAAAAUGACCCCGUAACUUCGGGAGAAGGGGUGCUCUUUAGGGUUAACGCCCAGAAGAGCCGCAGUGAAUAGGCCCAAGCGACUGUUUAUCAAAAACACAGGUCUCUGCUAAACCGUAAGGUGAUGUAUAGGGGCUGACGCCUGCCCGGUGCUGGAAGGUUAAGAGGAGUGGUUAGCUUCUGCGAAGCUACGAAUCGAAGCCCCAGUAAACGGCGGCCGUAACUAUAACGGUCCUAAGGUAGCGAAAUUCCUUGUCGGGUAAGUUCCGACCCGCACGAAAGGCGUAACGAUUUGGGCACUGUCUCAACGAGAGACUCGGUGAAAUCAUAGUACCUGUGAAGAUGCAGGUUACCCGCGACAGGACGGAAAGACCCCGUGGAGCUUUACUGUAGCCUGAUAUUGAAAUUCGGCACAGCUUGUACAGGAUAGGUAGGAGCCUUUGAAACGUGAGCGCUAGCUUACGUGGAGGCGCUGGUGGGAUACUACCCUAGCUGUGUUGGCUUUCUAACCCGCACCACUUAUCGUGGUGGGAGACAGUGUCAGGCGGGCAGUUUGACUGGGGCGGUCGCCUCCUAAAAGGUAACGGAGGCGCUCAAAGGUUCCCUCAGAAUGGUUGGAAAUCAUUCAUAGAGUGUAAAGGCAUAAGGGAGCUUGACUGCGAGACCUACAAGUCGAGCAGGGUCGAAAGACGGACUUAGUGAUCCGGUGGUUCCGCAUGGAAGGGCCAUCGCUCAACGGAUAAAAGCUACCCCGGGGAUAACAGGCUUAUCUCCCCCAAGAGUUCACAUCGACGGGGAGGUUUGGCACCUCGAUGUCGGCUCAUCGCAUCCUGGGGCUGUAGUCGGUCCCAAGGGUUGGGCUGUUCGCCCAUUAAAGCGAUACGCGAGCUGGGUUCAGAACGUCGUGAGACAGUUCGGUCCCUAUCCGUCGUGGGCGUAGGAAAUUUGAGAGGAGCUGUCCUUAGUACGAGAGGACCGGGAUGGACAUACCUCUGGUGUACCAGUUGUCGUGCCAACGGCAUAGCUGGGUAGCUAUGUGUGGACGGGAUAAGUGCUGAAAGCAUCUAAGCAUGAAGCCCCCCUCAAGAUGAGAUUUCCCAACUUCGGUUAUAAGAUCCCUCAAAGAUGAUGAGGUUAAUAGGUUCGAGGUGGAAGCAUGGUGACAUGUGGAGCUGACGAAUACUAAUCGAUCGAAGACUUAAUCAA